GGUCAAUAUGCCCAUCUGUUGUUGCUUGACUGGCUUCAGUUUGCCAUAUUAUGCUUUCAGCAUAUUUUUUGAGCAUACAGUACCUUUGAGAAUAUUUUCUAGACAGUAUUUGUCAUUGUUUUGGAUUGUUGCAAUGAUAAUACACAUUUGCAUAAUGCAGGCAUAUUUGUCUACACCCAUGUUGAUAAGAGCAUUAAAAAAACA
This is a long non-coding RNA of Sander lucioperca (pikeperch), 204 nucleotides long. RefSeq lists it as uncharacterized. NCBI's taxonomy places the organism in Eukaryota, Metazoa, Chordata, Actinopteri, Perciformes, Percidae. The record is from RefSeq and is a predicted model, not a curated record. The transcript has 2 exons.